GGGUUGUGAGGUUAAGCGACUAAGCGUACACGGUGGAUGCCCUGGCAGUCAGAGGCGAUGAAGGGCGUGCUAAUCUGCGAUAAGCGCCGGUAAGGUGAUAUGAACCGUUAUAACCGGCGAUACCCGAAUGGGGAAACCCAGUGUGACUCGUCACACUAUCAUUAACUGAAUCCAUAGGUUAAUGAGGCGAACCGGGGGAACUGAAACAUCUAAGUACCCCGAGGAAAAGAAAUCAACCGAGAUUCCCCCAGUAGCGGCGAGCGAACGGGGAGGAGCCCAGAGCCUGAAUCAGCAUGUGUGUUAGUGGAAGCGUCUGGAAAGGCGCGCGAUACAGGGUGACAGCCCCGUACACAAAAGCGCAUGUGCUGUGAGCUCGAUGAGUAGGGCGGGACACGUGGUAUCCUGUCUGAAUAUGGGGGGACCAUCCUCCAAGGCUAAAUACUCCUGACUGACCGAUAGUGAACCAGUACCGUGAGGGAAAGGCGAAAAGAACCCCGGCGAGGGGAGUGAAAAAGAACCUGAAACCGUGUACGUACAAGCAGUGGGAGCACAGGUUUACCUGUGUGACUGCGUACCUUUUGUAUAAUGGGUCAGCGACUUAUAUUCUGUAGCAAGGUUAACCG
RNAcentral lists this ribosomal RNA (623 nucleotides) under Salmonella enterica subsp. enterica serovar Infantis. Its description in RNAcentral is "partial 23S ribosomal RNA". It matches the Rfam family "Bacterial large subunit ribosomal RNA", at positions 1 to 652 of the family's 2925-position model. Lineage: Bacteria; Pseudomonadati; Pseudomonadota; Gammaproteobacteria; Enterobacterales; Enterobacteriaceae. The record is from RNAcentral. RNAcentral also lists the same sequence under 9 other names.